UAGGGAAUCUUCGGCAAUGGACGAAAGUCUGACCGAGCAACGCCGCGUGAGUGAAGAAGGUUUUCGGAUCGUAAAACUCUGUUGUUAGAGGAGAACAAGUGGGAGAGUAACUGUUCCCACCUUGACGGUAUCUAACCAGAAAGCCACGGCUAACUACGUGCCAGCAGCCGCGGUAAUACGUAGGUGGCAAGCGUUGUCCGGAUUUAUUGGGCGUAAAGCGAGCGCAGGCGGUUUUUUAAGUCUGAUGUGAAAGCCCUCGGCUCAACCGAGGAAGGUCAUUGGAAACUGGAGAACUUGAGUGCAGAAGAGGAGAGUGGAAUUCCAUGUGUAGCGGUGAAAUGCGUAGAUAUAUGGAGGAACACCAGUGGCGAAGGCGACUCUCUGGUCUGUAACUGACGCUGAGGCUCAAAAGCGUGGGGAGCAAACAG
Molecule: ribosomal RNA, 428 nt
Filed under: uncultured bacterium
Lineage: Bacteria
Description: bacterial SSU rRNA
Rfam family: Bacterial small subunit ribosomal RNA
Source: RNAcentral